Molecule: ribosomal RNA, 497 nt
Filed under: uncultured bacterium
Lineage: Bacteria
Description: partial 16S ribosomal RNA
Rfam family: Bacterial small subunit ribosomal RNA
Source: RNAcentral
GAUGAACGCUGGCGGCGUGCCUAAUACAUGCAAGUCGAGCGAACAGAUGAGGAGCUUGCUCCUCUGACGUUAGCGGCGGACGGGUGAGUAACACGUGGAUAACCUACCUAUAAGACUGGGAUAACUUCGGGAAACCGGAGCUAAUACCGGAUAAUAUAUUGAACCGCAUGGUUCAAUAGUGAAAGACGGUUUUGCUGUCACUUAUAGAUGGAUCCGCGCCGCAUUAGCUAGUUGGUAAGGUAACGGCUUACCAAGGCAACGAUGCGUAGCCGACCUGAGAGAGUGAUCGGCCACACGGGAACUGAGACACGGUCCAGACGCCUGCGGGAGGCAGCAGUAGGGAAUCUUCCGCAAUGGGCGAAAGCCUGACGGAGCAACGCCGCGUGAGUGAUGAAGGUCUUCGGAUCGUAAAACUCUGUUAUUAGGGAAGAACAAAUGUGUAAGUAACUAUGCACGUCUUGACGGUACCUAAUCAGAAAGCCACGGCUAACUACGUG